GGUGGUGCAAUGGGUCAGCGCGUCUGGUUGCUAACCAGAAGGCUGGUGGUUUGAGCCCAGCCACG
This is a non-coding RNA of Podarcis lilfordi (Lilford's wall lizard), 65 nucleotides long. NCBI's taxonomy places the organism in Eukaryota, Metazoa, Chordata, Lepidosauria, Squamata, Lacertidae. The record is from the annotation of a GenBank genome assembly.